This 291-nucleotide long non-coding RNA is filed under the name Salvator merianae (Argentine black and white tegu). Its description in RNAcentral is "lncRNA (ENSSMRG00000008540.1)". Lineage: Eukaryota; Metazoa; Chordata; Lepidosauria; Squamata; Teiidae. The record is from RNAcentral.
CUGCACCCUAUUGCUCCUGGAGAGCUUGCAGAAAAUGGCAAUGGUGAGAUAGUAAGAGAAGGAUGAUUCUUUUUCCUUAGACGGUGGAACUGAUGCUAAUCCCACCUUGUAUCGGUCUCUUACUGCCAGACGUUCUAGAAAAGCACCAAGUGUGAAAUCUAACCGAUCAAUGUCAGUUGGUUUUAUUAUACCACUGCAGCUGAAUACUACCCAACGAGUUAAAGAUGAAGAGGCUGGUAAAAUGACUAUCACAAAGGAGAAGUAAUGCCAUCAUUUGGCUAUCCCUCUGCC